UUCAGGGAAAUACCGUUGCGCAAAAUAGUCAUCAUCAUUAAAUAUCUUCCGCAAUGUGUCAAGUCUUGUCCUUCAAGAGUCGCAAGACCACAUGGUCUUGAUAAAACUCACGAAUCACGCCACAUUUGAAAGCUGUUAAUCAUCGGGGGUUUGAUCGGACUCAGUCCCUUGGAAUACCUCUGGAUUCGAGAGAGAUAGCAACAUUUUCCGUAGGACCUUUUUUAUGGAAGGGGAUCAGAUCUACAAAAAAGAUAAUUAUACAAAUUUCGAUAUUUCUCUUUAAUACAGAGAUAUUCCUGAAAAUGGGAUGGAGCAAUUAAAUCGAUUUACGAAUCGAUCUUUUAUUUCACCGUGUUUUUGGGGAAUUUCUGGAAAUCCGAAGGAGAUAGCGAAAUUUCGAUUGGAAUCUUUUUCGUGGAGUGGAAUGAGUUCUACAAAAAAGGUUAUAAUGUGAAUUUCGGUAUAUCCUCUAGAUCCGGAGAUAUUCAGUGCCAUAGGUGAAUGGACGUGUGAAUGUGAGAUUUGAAUGGCGUCCAUUUGGCCUAGAAUAAUCGGUUUUCCUGGAGGGGACAAGAGCAUCUCCGAGAGAGGAAUUCGUCUCUUUCAAACUCAACAUGUAACACCGUGAUGUCCCUUA
Long non-coding RNA from Fopius arisanus, 637 nucleotides. RefSeq lists it as uncharacterized. NCBI's taxonomy places the organism in Eukaryota, Metazoa, Arthropoda, Insecta, Hymenoptera, Braconidae. The record is from RefSeq and is a predicted model, not a curated record. The transcript has 3 exons.